This 510-nucleotide ribosomal RNA is filed under the name uncultured bacterium. RNAcentral describes it as "partial 16S ribosomal RNA". It matches the Rfam family "Bacterial small subunit ribosomal RNA", at positions 28 to 507 of the family's 1533-position model. The record is from RNAcentral.
GACGAACGCUGGCGGCGUGCUUAACACAUGCAAGUCGAACGAAGAGCGAUGGAAGCUUGCUUCUAUCAAUCUUAGUGGCGAACGGGUGAGUAACGCGUAAUCAACCUGCCCUUCAGAGGGGGACAACAGUUGGAAACGACUGCUAAUACCGCAUACGAUCUAAUCUCGGCAUCGAGGAUAGAUGAAAGGUGGCCUCUACAUGUAAGCUAUCACUGAAGGAGGGGAUUGCGUCUGAUUAGCUAGUUGGAGGGGUAACGGCCCACCAAGGCGAUGAUCAGUAGGCGGUCUGAGGGGAUGGACGGCCACAUUGGGACUGAGAAACGGCCCAGACUCCUACGGGAGGCAGCAGUGGGGAAUCUUCCGCAAUGGACGAAAGUCUGACGGAGCAACGCCGCGUGAGGGAUGACGGCCUUCGGGUUGUAAAGCUCUGUUAAUCGGGACGAAAGGCCUUCUUGCGAAUAGUGAGAAGGAUUGACGGUACCGGAAUAGAAAGCCACGGCUAACUACGUG